This is a long non-coding RNA of Sapajus apella (tufted capuchin), 2076 nucleotides long. RefSeq lists it as uncharacterized. NCBI's taxonomy places the organism in Eukaryota, Metazoa, Chordata, Mammalia, Primates, Cebidae. The record is from RefSeq and is a predicted model, not a curated record. The transcript has 2 exons.
AACAUUUAGUCCAUAACACAUGAUCAGUUACGUUAACUGAUUUUUCAAAUAUUAAAACAACCUUGCAUUUCUGAGAUGAACUCCACUUGGUUAUAUUAUCCUUUCAAUAUACUUUUAUUUGUUAAAACUUUGCUUAGAAUUUUUGCAUCUAUGCUGAUGAAGGACAUUAGUCUAUAGUUUUUUUGCGAUAUCUUUGUCUAGUUUUGGAAUCCAUGUAAAUACUGAUUUUAUAGAAGGAGUUGAGAAGUAGUCCCUCCUUUCAAAUUUCUGGAAGAAUUUGUGUGGAGUAGAUAUUAUUUCUUCCUUAAGUGUUGGUAGAAUUCACCUGUGAGGCCAUCUGGGCUGACACCCCUCUCUUUGGUGAUUAGGAAGGACUCUGCAGACUCACAUAGUUCAUUGGCACUAUUGAGGGUAGUGUCUCCCGUGUAGAAUAGCAUCUUCCUUGUAAGGACCCUAAUACGGUUUGGCUGUGUUCCCACCCAAAUCUCAUCUUCAAUUCCCACCUGUUGUGGGAGGGACCUGGUGGGAGGUAAUUGAAUCAUGGGGUCAAGUUUUUCCCUGUGUUGUUCUCAUGACAGCGAAUAAGUCUCAGGAGAUCUGAUGGUUUUAAAAAGAGGAGCUUCCCUGCACAAGCUCUCUCUCCUUGCAUGCUGCCGUCCACGUAAGACGUGACUUGCUCCACCUUGCUUUCCUCCAUGAUUGUGAGGCUUCCCCUGCCACGUGGAAUUCUAAGUCCAAUUAAACCUCUUUCUUUUGUAAAUUUCCCACUCUGGGGUAUGUCUUUAUCAGUGGCAUGAAAACAAACUUAUACAGGCUCACAGGAGACAUUUCUUCUAGAUCUCAAUGUCAGGGAAACCCGAAGUAUUCACUUCCUAUUCUUUCUCAGUGUUCAAGGAGAAUGCAUCUGCUCACUCAUCCACAUGGCAGGUUUCCAGAUAGCAUUGUCUGUGCCCUCCUUGUUCUCCAUCCAUUCCACAGACACCAGGCUUCUUCAUCUGACCAUUUCCUGGCCUCCUGGGGGGUUUCCUGAGACUCUUCUCCACAGUGUCAGCCACUUACAUCGGACAACAUUUAUUUUUGUUCACAGCUGUCUUCAGAAGACUGAACAGAACUCAGGACAAUCUUGAAAGAGCUGUCACCCCAUGAAAAAUAAAACAGGGCUGCCAUCUUUCCUCUGGUUGCCUCACUCUAUGUGGUGUAGCAAUAGCCCAGUUCCUGUGGGCUGAUCGUCACAACCCAAGCUCAGAAUGUGAUGGGAAAUGUCUCUCAGUAUGAGGCCCUUUCCAGUGUAGCCCCUUUCUCCUUCCAGCCUUAUGGGCCACAUGCUGCUUUGCUCCUUUCCUUGGAUCUUCUUUCUUCUUUGUCCUACAAAAGGAACCGAUAACUCAUGCUACGCAGCUCCGUGCUCUGCACGUUCCUCUAACAUUAGCCCACGCUGAGUGAGAAUCUGUGUGCCAGGCAGCUUGCUACUUUAGCCAUUGUUUCAUUGAGUCUUCACAACUCCAGAGGGUAGAUACAGUGGUUGUCCCCAUUUCGUAGAUGAGGAAACUGAAGUUUGUAGAGGUUAGGUGACGUGCCUAAGGUCAUGCACUUGGUAAGAGGUAGAGCAGGACACAGACGCUGGUGAUUUCUCACCCAAGCGAGCCCACAUUGUGUUUUCAGACCUUCUCCCAAACACUGCGCUGCCGUGCUUGGUGCUUGGAUGUGCGUUUACUAGUUUGCUUCUCUGUUCGGCCCAUGCGCUCACACCGGGCAAGGUCUUGCCAUCCUAAUCCGUGUGUCUACACUGCAUGACUGGGAGCUCAGCAACUGUUUGCCAAGUAAAUGAAACCUAACUGAAGUUCCAGAUUUCUUGUUCUAAAUCGAGAAACAAGGCACAGGCACAAAGUAGUGAAGAAAGAAAUGCUUGAACCAAAUCCUACUGUCUGCCUAGUGCAAAGCUUGGGCCACAGUAUUUACUCAAAAAUCAUGUUCAUUCUCAGCUACCCCUGCUCUGGGCAGAGGCUGGGAGAGGCGCUCUUCCGUUCUCUUCCCUGGCCACUGGCCACUGCAGCAGGUGGGGGGGUGGGGUGGGGG